Molecule: long non-coding RNA, 1069 nt
Organism: Acinonyx jubatus (cheetah)
Lineage: Eukaryota; Metazoa; Chordata; Mammalia; Carnivora; Felidae
Exons: 3
Source: RefSeq, a predicted model, not a curated record
GCACUCCCUCCAGCGCCGGCGGCCGGGCCGGGAGGGUACGGGGGCUUCGGCGCCGUCGGGGCAGAGCCCGCGGGGUUGUGGGGGGAGGCUGUGCACCCCGUGCCUCGCUCGCUCUCCCUGACUCCCCUUCUCUCGCCGUGCAGCUGCGGCGCCGAGGGGUCGGUGCUGGGUGCACAGUCUCCAUCACUCACCGUCGAGGCUCGGGGGAAUGAUGAAAACAUACCAGUUGUGCAGGAGGAAUGACUUUGCCCGGCCCUGAGCCACAGCAGAUGUUUCUCUUGGGUCCUCAUAAAGGAGACACUGUGAUGUCGUGAACAGCAUCCCCAGCAGUUUGCCUACCACGAAGACAAUGGUGGAGAGUAAAUUCAGGAAAUUCAUCUUGGUUGACAACAAAAGUCCACUACAUGUAUUUGGAAUAAAUGAAUGAGCUUCUCCUUGGCGUCCAGCCUGAGGUUAAACCUUUCGCUGUGAAGGUGUCCCUUGCCAUGUGGAUGUGCUACAGUGGUGAACACAUGUGUGUGCAAAUUUUCUAUCCACCGAUGGUGCACAUUUCUUACAGUACUAAAAACUGGUCCUUCAGAAGACCUUUAUAAAUGUGUAUUUCUGUAAGUGCUAUUUUGUAGCAGGGAAACUUUGGGUUGCUUUAUGGCAGAGAAAUGAAUCAGCCUAUAAAUUACGUUAACUAAAUUCCUGUUGUGUUAGUCUGCCCACCUAUCCACUUUUAUACCUGAGACCUUGAAAAUUUUCUUAGUUAUUUGCAAGUACUGUGUAGGGAGUUAAAUAUACUAUGAGUAUUUGGUAAGUGUGAGUUGACCCACUUUAUGGCUAAAAAGAGAAAACGGGUGCCUGGGUGGCUCAGUCGGUUAAGCGUCUGGCUUCAGCUCAGGUCAUGAUCUCGCAGUCUGUGAGUUCAAGCCCCGCGUUGGGUUCUGUGCCGACCGCUCGGAGCCUGGAGCCUGCUUCGGAUUCUGGGUCUCCCUCUCUCUCCGCCCCUUCUCUGCUCAUCCUCUGUCUCUCCCAAAAAUAAAAAUAAAACAUUAAAAAAAAUUAAAUAAAAAUUAAAAAAAAA